This 228-nucleotide long non-coding RNA is filed under the name Cicer arietinum (chickpea). Its description in RNAcentral is "long non-coding RNA (CARI_LNC002049)". The record is from RNAcentral. Lineage: Eukaryota; Viridiplantae; Streptophyta; Magnoliopsida; Fabales; Fabaceae.
AAGAGUCAGAGUAUGCUUAUGCAUUUCAUAGUACAUGGUGACCGCGAUGGGGCCAUGGUGAUAGUGGUGACCAUGAUGGGCCACGGGAUGAUGCCAUGUGAAUUGUUGGUUCAUCUUAUCCUUGCGGGAAUUGUCGCGUCGUGCUGAUCUGUGAGAGAUUGCACUCUAGAAUAUGUUGAUUUGUGAGCGAUUGCACUCUAGAAAACCAUGCUGGUCUGUGAGAGGCUG